CCUACGGGUGGCAGCAGUGGGGAAUAUUGGGCAAUGGAGGCAACUCUGACCCAGCAACGCCGCGUGAAUGAUGAAGGUCUUCGGAUUGUAAAGUUCUUUUCUAAGGGAAGAAGAAAGUGACGGUACCGUAGGAAUAAGCCUCGGCUAACUACGGGCCAGCAGCCGCGGUAAUACGUAGGAGGCAAGCGUUAUCCGGAAUGACUGGGCGUAAAGGGUGCGUAGGGGGUUUGACAAGUUAGUAGCGCAACUCCGGAGCUCAACUUCGUAACUACUACUAAAACUGUUGGACUUGAGUGCAGGAGUGGCAAUCGGAAUUCCUAGUGUCGCCGUGUAAUGCGUAGUUAUUAGGAGGAACACCAGUGGCGAAGGCGGAUUGCUAGACUGUAACUGACACUGAGGCACUACAGCGUGUGGAGCAAACAGGAUUAGAUACCCGGGUAGUC
This 443-nucleotide ribosomal RNA is filed under the name uncultured bacterium. Its description in RNAcentral is "partial 16S ribosomal RNA". It matches the Rfam family "Bacterial small subunit ribosomal RNA", at positions 338 to 795 of the family's 1533-position model. The record is from RNAcentral.